Molecule: ribosomal RNA, 488 nt
Filed under: uncultured bacterium
Lineage: Bacteria
Description: bacterial SSU rRNA
Rfam family: Bacterial small subunit ribosomal RNA
Source: RNAcentral
GGCGGCGUGCCUAUACAUGCAGUCCAGCGGGUAUCGAAAGAUACCAGCGGCGGACGGGUGAGGAACACGUGGGGAAUAGGCCUAACAGACCGGAAUAACGCCUGGAAACGGGUGCUAAGGCCGGAUAGGCGCAUGAGGCGCAUGCCUGAUGCGGGAAAGGAUGCUAUGGCAUCGCUGAGAGAGGACCCCGCGGCGCAUUAGCUAGUUGGUAGGGUAAAGGCCUACCAAGGCGACGAUGCGUAGCCGACCUGAGAGGGUGACCGGCCACACUGGGACUGAGACACGGCCCAGACUCCUACGGGAGGCAGCAGUAGGGAAUCUUCGGCAAUGGGCGACAGCCUGACCGAGCAACGCCGCGUGAGUGAAGACGGUCUUCGGAUUGUAAAGCUCUGUCAUGCGGGACGAGCGACAAGGAGAGGGCAUGCUCCUUGAGAGACGGUACCGCAGGAGGAAGCCCCGGCUAACUACGUGCCAGCAGCCGCGGUAAU